GUUGUCGUGGCCGAGUGGUUAAGGCGACAGACUAUAAAUCUUUUGGGAUCUUCCCGCGCAGUUUCGAAUCCUGCCGUCUACG
RNAcentral lists this transfer RNA (82 nucleotides) under Dreissena polymorpha. Its description in RNAcentral is "transfer RNA tyrosine (anticodon AUA)". It matches the Rfam family "tRNA". From Rfam's summary of the family: Transfer RNA (tRNA) molecules are approximately 80 nucleotides in length. Their secondary structure includes four short double-helical elements and three loops (D, anti-codon, and T loops). Lineage: Eukaryota; Metazoa; Mollusca; Bivalvia; Myida; Dreissenidae. The record is from Rfam by way of RNAcentral.